Molecule: microRNA, 22 nt
Filed under: Xenopus tropicalis (tropical clawed frog)
Lineage: Eukaryota; Metazoa; Chordata; Amphibia; Anura; Pipidae
Description: xtr-miR-205b
Gene: xtr-miR-205b
Source: miRBase by way of RNAcentral
UCCUUCAUUCCACCGGAUCCUG